RNAcentral lists this ribosomal RNA (510 nucleotides) under uncultured Mycobacterium sp. RNAcentral describes it as "bacterial SSU rRNA". It matches the Rfam family "Bacterial small subunit ribosomal RNA", at positions 1 to 526 of the family's 1533-position model. Lineage: Bacteria; Bacillati; Actinomycetota; Actinomycetes; Mycobacteriales; Mycobacteriaceae. The record is from RNAcentral.
CRGCCCCMGAGUUUGAUCCUGGCUCAGGACGAACGCUGGCGGCSUGCUUAACACAUGCAAGUCGAACGGAAAGGCCUCUUCGGAGGUACUCGAGUGGCGAACGGGUGAGUAACACGUGGGUAAUCUGCCCUGCACUUCGGGAUAAGCCUGGGAAGCUGGGUCUAAUACCGAAUAGGACCAUUUAGCGCAUGCUUUAUGGUGGAAAGCUUUUGCGGUGUGGGAUGGGCCCGCGGCCUAUCAGCUUGUUGGUGGGGUGACGGCCUACCAAGGCGACGACGGGUAGCCGGCCUGAGAGGGUGUCCGGCCACACUGGGACUGAGAUACGGCCCARACUCCUACGGGAGGCAGCAGUGGGGAAUAUUGCACAAUGGGCGCAAGCCUGAUGCAGCGACGCCGCGUGGGGGAUGACGGCCUUCGGGUUGUAAACCUCUUUCAGCAGGGACGAAGCGCAAGUGACGGUACCUGCAGAAGAAGCACCGGCCAACUACGUGCCAGCAGCCGCGGUAAUAC